This 243-nucleotide ribosomal RNA is filed under the name uncultured bacterium. RNAcentral's name for it is "partial 16S ribosomal RNA". It matches the Rfam family "Bacterial small subunit ribosomal RNA", at positions 1258 to 1500 of the family's 1533-position model. The record is from RNAcentral.
UGACCUGGAGCGAAUCUCAGAAAUAACGUCUCAGUUCGGAUUGUAGUCUGCAACUCGACUACAUGAAGCUGGAAUCGCUAGUAAUCGCGGAUCAGAAUGCCGCGGUGAAUACGUUCCCGGGUCUUGUACACACCGCCCGUCACACCAUGGGAGUCGGGAAUGCCCGAAGCCAGUGACCCAAGCGAGAGCAGGGAGCUGUCGAAGGCAGGCCGGAUAACUGGGGUGAAGUCGUAACAAGGUAAC